Molecule: long non-coding RNA, 1592 nt
Organism: Cebus imitator (Panamanian white-faced capuchin)
Lineage: Eukaryota; Metazoa; Chordata; Mammalia; Primates; Cebidae
Exons: 3
Source: RefSeq, a predicted model, not a curated record
AGGCUGUCACUCUGUCACCCAGGCUGGAGUGCGGUGGUAUGAUCACAGCUCACUCUAGCCUUGAACCCCCAAGCUAAAGGGAUCCUCCUGCCUCAGCCUCCAGAGUAGCUGGGACUACAGUAUAUACAUGAAGAAACCCAGCCACGUUCACAUGUGUGGAAUACUCUUGGGUAGCACGAGCAGGUCAGGCAAUGGCAAAUGGUGUGAUGUGACCUUGAGUCAACAUCAGAGGUCAAAGGUAGGUGGGAUCAAAGGUAGGUGGGAUCAGGUGGUGAAGUGCCCUCAUCACUUACCCAGGUUGAUAAGUGCUUUCAUUACAUGGAAGGCUUUGUUUUUGUUCUUUAAAUUAAUAUUUCUUAUUACAAAAGUAACACCUAUGUAUGAUUUUAAAAUCUCCAAAGAGCAUACAACAAAAAAGCCCUGACAGAUAUUCAGUUCCGUAACUUCCCUCCCAGGAAACAACCACGAUCGUUAACUGCUGAUGUAUCUUUGUGUAAAUAGUAUACGUAUAAGCAUCUCCUUUGUUUAUCCUUUGUUGCAUGCAAAGGAAGAUACUAUACAAAUCUUGCUUUGUAUCUUGAGAUUGGUCCGUAUCAGCACAUUUAGAGCUAUCUUAUUCUUUUCCCCAGCUCCAUGUUUUCAAAUUAUGUAGUUGAACCAUGGCUUAUUUAACAGUUAACUAAUGAGACAUUAAAUAUGCUGCAGUCAAUAAACAAUGCUGAUUUGAAGAUUUUUGUCUUCAAACAUGGAGCUAUUAUUUGCAGGACAUUGUUCUCAAAGAGGAAUUUUUGUGCUUCUAGAAAAUAAUAUAAAGAGAGGAAAAGCAUGAACAAGGUGGCCUUUUAGAGCUAUCAAUCUGGCGGCUGUGUGAAGGAUGCAGUGGAGGGUGGAGCAAUUAGAAGCAAGAGACUGGUCAAGAGUCUCUUGAUUUCUUCCUCUGUCUUCUGCUCCCAGUGAGCAUUGCUGAAAGUACCAGCUAAAAGUACCAGCAAUGCUCACUGGGAGCAGAAUACAGAUGAAAAGAGUUUACAAAUGGAAUCAGCUGAGGAAGGGUUUGCACAGCCUUUGUGACUGCUCUUGUUUCUUCUCCCAUGCCUCUCUGUUUUCACUGUGCCAGUUUUGGGAGACACCUAGAGCCUAUGAUCAGAAAGGAUGUGUGCUGACAUCAUCACCACCUUUGUCUUUCAGGUACACCAAAAUGCAGAGCAAGUGAAGGAGCAGAGAAAUGGGAGAGGUGAGAAGGGGACAAUGAGGUAGGUUCUCAAAUCACUUUUUGCUUUCAUGCCUGCAACAUUUCUCUGAGGCAGAACUUUCCAAAUAAAGUGGAUUUUAGAUGUGCCAAAAUACUGACCUUUCAGCUCACAGGUGGCAGGGCAGGGUCAAAAGGGGCCUCAAGGUGCUUUUUGUGUGUGGCCCAAGUCACCUUCAAAUGUAAUGCUUUUCUGUGUAUACCAAGAUAUACAACUUUUGGAGGCAAUAAAAAAAUACUGUCUUAGAAUUCAAGAGUCCCAAAUGUUUGGAUAAAAACUUCUAGUUUUCUAGGAUGUGUGUGCAUAUAUGUAUCUACGUAUAUAUGUGCGUGGUCAUGUGUC